UUGCAAGCAUAGUAUUAGCAUUAGCAUUGGUUACAGUUUCAUUUUCUUUGAAAUACUUAUGCCUGAAUAGACUUAGUGGGUAAGUCGGCGAGGUCGGUUGCCGAACCCACUGGGAACUUCGUUGUAGUUCUCACACCACUAACCCUACAGGUCCGAGCGCGAGCGGGGCGGCGGAGGACCGUGGCAAGGGUAUUGCGUCAUAGCUAGUGGCCACAGGGACUUAUACAUGUUUAGUCAUUCCUUUUGUACAUGUAUCAACUUUCUUUUGUUGAUUAAGAGAAAUGUAAAGUUGUAAACAAUCAUGUAUUUUAGAGAAUGACAAAAAUGUAAAGAAUUAUGUUGAAUGGAAAAGGAAUGUAAUAGUUGUAGUUUACUUGUAUUUGGUUAAAAUGUAAUCAAAUAUUAUGUAUGGUUGUAUAUAUUAGCUUAGAGCUUUCGCUUCCGUUGUUACUUGCCCUCUUACAAGCCUUGUAUAAUGGCAUAUCUCUUUGUUGAUUGUUUAAUUAUACUUGUUGUUGGAGCCUUGGGCGGACAUGGGAGACGCUGUCCGUUCGGCGUCUGUUGACGUGACCCGAACCCGACCAAAUUGGCGGGGAUUGGGGCUUGACAGGUACACAGCCCUGCUGAGGCAACCCGAGAGCAGACUCAAAAAUUCAAUCUUUUGGAUUUUGGUGCUAAGUUUUAAACUUCAAUUCUUGGGAUAUGAGCCAUAGGUCGGAACACUAUCAACAACUGUAACAAACCAGAUUUUGGUAUAAAAAUAAAAAUAAAUAAAAAUAGUAUGAGAAACUAUUUCUAUUGGAUUUGUAGAAGUAAAAAAUGAGUCAGAAAUGAUUUAUGCUGAAAUCGGAAUGAAAACAGAAGAUCUAGAAUUUUCUGUUGGAAACGGGACAGAUAAAUUAGCAGAAAAUGCACAGUCUCAGAAAAUUAU
This 931-nucleotide long non-coding RNA is filed under the name Ananas comosus (pineapple). RNAcentral's name for it is "long non-coding RNA (ACOM_LNC036287)". The record is from RNAcentral. Lineage: Eukaryota; Viridiplantae; Streptophyta; Magnoliopsida; Poales; Bromeliaceae.